Molecule: ribosomal RNA, 596 nt
Filed under: uncultured bacterium
Lineage: Bacteria
Description: bacterial SSU rRNA
Rfam family: Bacterial small subunit ribosomal RNA
Source: RNAcentral
UGACGGUAUCAUAUGAAUAAGCACCGGCUAACUCCGUGCCAGCAGCCGCGGUAAUACGGGGGGUGCAAGCGUUACUCGGAAUCACUGGGCGUAAAGAGCAUGUAGGCGGGUGAAUAAGUUGGAAGUGAAAUCCUAUAGCUUAACUAUAGAACUGCUUCCAAAACUGUUCACCUAGAGUAUGGGAGAGGUAGAUGGAAUUUCUGGUGUAGGGGGUAAAAUCCGUAGAGAUCAGAAGGAAUACCGAUUGCGAAGGCGAUCUACUGGAACAUUACUGACGCUCAGAUGCGAAAGCGUGGGGAGCAAACAGGAUUAGAUACCCUGGUAGUCCACGCCCUAAACGAUGUACACUAGUUGUUGCUAUACUAGAUAUGGCAGUAAUGCAGUUAACACUUUAAGUGUACCGCCUGGGGGAGUACGGUCGCAAGAUUAAAACUCAAAGGAAUAGACGGGGACCCGCACAAGCGGUGGAGCAUGUGGUUUAAUUCGACGAUACGCGAAAAACCUUACCUGGCCUUGACUUAGUAGGAAUCUUUAAGAGAUUAGAUAGUGCUAGCUUGCUAGAACCUACAUACAGGUGCUGCACGGCUGUCGUCAGC